This 375-nucleotide unclassified non-coding RNA is filed under the name uncultured Rubrobacterales bacterium. Its description in RNAcentral is "contains 16S-23S intergenic spacer region". Lineage: Bacteria; Bacillati; Actinomycetota; Rubrobacteria; Rubrobacterales. The record is from RNAcentral.
UCCGGUUUGUCACCGGCAGUCUGAAGUGAGUCCCCAGCUUAAUGCUGGCAACACUUCACGGGGGUUGCGCUCGUUGCGGGACUUAACCCAACAUCUCACGACACGAGCUGACGACAGCCAUGCAGCAUCUGUGGUGCACCCUCGAAGGUCACACGUUUCCGUGCGCUUGCAGCACCAUGUCAAGUCCAGGUAAGGUUCUUCGCGUUGCAUCGAAUUAAGCCAUAUGCUCCACCGCUUGUGCGGGCCCCCGCCAAUUCCUUUGAGUUUUAGCCUUGCGGCCGUAGUCCCCAGGCGGUGAACUCAUCGCGUAAGCUUCGACGCGGAGGGGGUCGAUACCCCCCACAUCUAGUGAGCAUCGUUUACGGCGUGGACUAC